This 790-nucleotide long non-coding RNA is filed under the name Erythranthe guttata (spotted monkey flower). RNAcentral describes it as "long non-coding RNA (EGUT_LNC003278)". Lineage: Eukaryota; Viridiplantae; Streptophyta; Magnoliopsida; Lamiales; Phrymaceae. The record is from RNAcentral.
CCCAAACAAAAAAAAUUUGCACGUUUUUACCUGAACUCGUUUAUUCGUUGCACGGUGCCCCCUAAACUCAAUUUUCCGGCAAUUUUAACCGGAAUGUUAAAACAUGUGCGAUGCACGUGAGAUUUGAAGGGUAAAUUUGUCCCUUCACUUACAUCUUAUAUAUUAAUUAUAAAUUAAUUAUUAAAAUAAAAAAUAAAAAAUAAUAAAAAAAUAAAGAAAAAUAAACAAACUCAGUUAUCCGUCACCCACACCACCCAAAUCCAACUCAUCCCCCAAUCCAAAGAAUCAGAAAGUCCCCAAAUUUUCCGACGACCGCCAGCCCCACUCCUCCCUUCUCGGCCAUAGGUGAAGGUGAUGAUGAUUUGGUAUAACCCGAACCCGAAUCAUUUGAUUUUUCAAGUAUCCAGCCAAGAUCUGUACAACCAAUCGAAGUUUUCGGGUCUCCAAAGUCUCAACCUUCGUAUGCCGACACCAUCAGUGCUAUAACCACCGAUCCGGAUUUUAUAGCGACACUAGCGGAAUUAAUCCAUUAGCCUCGUCGUCGACGUUAAUGCGUAAUCGUUUGGCAAUGGGAUGGUGGGCGGUUGUGGGCUGGGAUUUGGGGGUGGGUCUCGUUGUCGGAGUCGGUUCUCAGUUGUUGUGGUGAAGUUGUUCAGGUUAAUUGCGGCAGCAGAAGCUGUGGGAACUGGAUUACGGAGAGUAAGUGAUGAACGAGAAUUGAGAAAGAAGAAUUAGAAUCAGGGAAAAGAAAGGGAGAAAAAUAAAUUGAAAGAAAAUAAGAAAAAAAAAA